Molecule: ribosomal RNA, 253 nt
Filed under: uncultured bacterium
Lineage: Bacteria
Description: partial 16S ribosomal RNA
Rfam family: Bacterial small subunit ribosomal RNA
Source: RNAcentral
UACGGGGGGUGCGAGCGUUGUCCGGAAUCACUGGGCGUAAAGGGCGCGUAGGUGGUUUGAUAAGGGUGUGGUGAAAGUCCGGGGCUCACCCCCGGAUCUGCCGUGCCGACUGUCAAACUCGAGGGCUGUAGAGGCAGGCGGAAGUCCGGGUGUAGCGGUGGAAGGCGUAGAGAUCCGGAGGAAGACCGGUGGCGAAGGCGGCCUGCUGGGCAGUGGCUGACACUGAGGCGCGACAGCGUGGGGAGCAAACAGG